This 460-nucleotide ribosomal RNA is filed under the name uncultured bacterium. RNAcentral describes it as "partial 16S ribosomal RNA". It matches the Rfam family "Bacterial small subunit ribosomal RNA", at positions 338 to 795 of the family's 1533-position model. The record is from RNAcentral.
CCUACGGGUGGCAGCAGUGAGGAAUAUUGGUCAAUGGACGAGAGUCUGAACCAGCCAAGUAGCGUGAAGGAUGACUGCCCUAUGGGUUGUAAACUUCUUUUAUAUGGGAAUAAAAUGUUCCACGUGUGGGAUUUUGUAUGUACCAUAUGAAUAAGGAUCGGCUAACUCCGUGCCAGCAGCCGCGGUAAUACGGAGGAACCGAGCGUUAUCCGGGUUUAUUGGGUUUAAAGGGAGCGUAGGUGGAUUGUUAAGUCAGUUGUGAAAGUUUGCGGCUCAACCGUAAAAUUGCAGUUGAAACUGGCAGUCUUGAGUACAGUAGAGGUGGGCGGAAUUCGUGGUGUAGCGGUGAAAUGCUUAGAUAUCACGAAGAACUCCGAUUGCGAAGGCAGUUCACUGGACUGCAACUGACACUGAGGCUCGAAAGUGUGGGUAUCAAACAGGAUUAGAUACCCCAGUAGUC